RNAcentral lists this small RNA (28 nucleotides) under Bombyx mori (domestic silkworm). RNAcentral describes it as "ovarian small RNA-31464". Lineage: Eukaryota; Metazoa; Arthropoda; Insecta; Lepidoptera; Bombycidae. The record is from RNAcentral.
UGACAUGGUUAUGUACUAAUAGUUUCGU